AUGGCUACCUGCUUGUCAGACAUUAUAAAAGAUCAUUCCUUGGAUUUUAUUUUCCUUCAAGAAACGAUGAAAAAAAUCCCCCUUAAGUUUCUUAGAAAAAUAGACCGACUGGGCAGAUUUGACUUGAAUUGGGUGCCUUCUAUUGGUAAGGCAGGUGGUAUCCUCUGUGGAGUCAAAAAGGAAACCCUUGAAGUUGUUUUCUGGAUGGUUGGCAAGUUUAUCUUGCAUGCCAGUAUAUAUGAUAUUAAACUCAGUUUUAUGUGGACACUCAUAACAGUCUAUGGGGCAGCACAUGAUGAUAAAAAAGAUAAAUUCCUCACUGAAUUUGCUUCUGUGUGUUCACACCUUCAAGUCCCCUAUGUGGUUGGUGGUGAUUUCAAUAUCCUGCCAGAGAAUUGUGACAAAAACAAAACAAUGAGUCGAUCCCCUUAUGUUGAUAAAUUCAACUCUAUCAUUCACUCCUUGAGCCUUUGGGAAAUAGGGGUGGGGGGGGGCAAAUAUACAUGGACCAACAACCAAAAAUACCGAACUUUGGAAAAGCUUGAUAGAGUCCUUAUGAGUUUUGAGUGGGAGGAUCUAUUUCCUUUAGUUACAGUCCGUAAACUGGUCAGAGAUGUAUCUGACCACAACCCACUCCUUUUAUCCUCGGGCCCAAAGAAAUCAGAUACCUUUCAUCAGUGUGAGUUUAGAUUUGAACUCAGCUGGCUAAAGGAUGAGAAAUUUACUCCAUUGCUAAAUGGAUUUGGGCACAUCCAGUUUUUGCAAAAGACUCCAUCACUAGUAGAAAAACACCUAAUAGUCCCGGUUCGUAAGGGCCUUUAG
Molecule: ribosomal RNA, 822 nt
Filed under: Triticum aestivum (bread wheat)
Lineage: Eukaryota; Viridiplantae; Streptophyta; Magnoliopsida; Poales; Poaceae
Description: partial small subunit ribosomal RNA
Source: RNAcentral